CUACGGGUUGCUGCAGUGAGGAAUAUUGCACAAUGGGGGGAACCCUGAUGCAGCAACGCCGCGUGGAGGAUGACGCAUUUCGGUGUGUAAACUCCUUUUAUAUGUCAAGAAAAUGACGGUAGCAUAUGAAUAAGCGCCGGCUAACUCCGUGCCAGCAGCCGCGGUAAUACGGAGGGCGCAAGCGUUACUCGGAAUCACUGGGCGUAAAGGACGCGUAGGCGGGUUGAAAAGUCUGGUGUGAAAGCCUACAGCUUAACUGUAGAACUGCACUUGAAACUCUCAAUCUAGAGUAUGGGAGGGGCAGAUGGAAUUAGUGGUGUAGGGGUAAAAUCCGUAGAUAUCACUAGGAAUACCUAAAGCGAAGGCGAUCUGCUGGAACAUUACUGACGCUAAGGCGUGAAAGCGUGGGGAGCAAACAGGAUUAGAUACCUCUGUAGUC
Molecule: ribosomal RNA, 439 nt
Filed under: uncultured bacterium
Lineage: Bacteria
Description: partial 16S ribosomal RNA
Rfam family: Bacterial small subunit ribosomal RNA
Source: RNAcentral